Molecule: ribosomal RNA, 254 nt
Filed under: uncultured bacterium
Lineage: Bacteria
Description: partial 16S ribosomal RNA
Rfam family: Bacterial small subunit ribosomal RNA
Source: RNAcentral
UACAGAGGUCUCAAGCGUUGUUCGGAUUCAUUGGGCGUAAAGGGUGCGUAGGUGGCGCGGUAAGUCGGGUGUGAAAUUUCGGAGCUUAACUCCGAAACUGCAUUCGAUACUGCUGUGCUUGAGGACUGGAGAGGAGACUGGAAUUUACGGUGUAGCAGUGAAAUGCGUAGAGAUCGUAAGGAAGACCAGUGGCGAAGGCGGGUCUCUGGACAGUUCCUGACACUGAGGCACGAAGGCCAGGGGAGCAAACGGGG